GCCCAUCUAGCUCAGUCAGUAGAGCAUGAGACUCUUAAUCUCAGGGUUGUGGGUGAAGGGCU
RNAcentral lists this transfer RNA (62 nucleotides) under Antrostomus carolinensis (chuck-will's-widow). Its description in RNAcentral is "Caprimulgus carolinensis (chuck-will's-widow) tRNA". It matches the Rfam family "tRNA". From Rfam's summary of the family: Transfer RNA (tRNA) molecules are approximately 80 nucleotides in length. Their secondary structure includes four short double-helical elements and three loops (D, anti-codon, and T loops). The record is from Rfam by way of RNAcentral. Lineage: Eukaryota; Metazoa; Chordata; Aves; Caprimulgiformes; Caprimulgidae.